Molecule: ribosomal RNA, 116 nt
Filed under: Diaphorina citri (Asian citrus psyllid)
Lineage: Eukaryota; Metazoa; Arthropoda; Insecta; Hemiptera; Psyllidae
Source: RNAcentral
CGCAGCGGUUAUAUCCGUUGAAUGCACGAAUAAAAAUGAAUCACUGAAGUUAAGCAACGUUGGGCGUGGUUAGUAUUUGAAUGGGUUACUAUCUGUGCAAUCGCGAGCUACUGACU